Orcinus orca (killer whale) is the source of this 20026-nucleotide long non-coding RNA. RefSeq lists it as uncharacterized. The record is from RefSeq and is a predicted model, not a curated record. Lineage: Eukaryota; Metazoa; Chordata; Mammalia; Artiodactyla; Delphinidae. The transcript has 4 exons.
UUAUCUUUAAAAAUUAGCAACCCCAAAGUGGUGAGGUGUUUCUUUAAGUGUUUCAGAAAAGGAGUAAACUGAGAAGUGAGCAAAGUUUGGCGGGUUCCUCCCUGUCGUGCUCCCUUCCCACCCCCACCUCCCACCCCCGCCAUCCUUUUCACUUUUCAGGGCUGUUUUCUGUUUAAUUCAUCUCCACUAUAAUGGUGACUAACAUAAUUUCUGAAGGCACAGGGACUGGAAAAGAAAUGCUGAAAACUAAAACAUCACUAACACCCAAAAAAAAAAAUUGUUUUGAUGGAGGGGAUGAAUGGGUGGAAUUAUUUGCCUUUUUUGUCCAGAAAUCUUUGAAUUAUUUCAUUAUCCACAAAAUUAUGGAAGUCUUAGACUUUUGAAGCUGAGAGGAGCCAUCUUGUUCAAUCUUUCCCAGUUUAUAAGUGGGAAGUUUAAAGACAGAGAUUGAGUCUUUAAUCUCACUGAAUCUAGGCUCCUUCACUCCCAUGUCUUCCCAGACCUUUAGCCUGAUUAGUGUAGAACAAGGCUGCAUAAUACUGGGCUGAGGGCUAAAUGUGGUGCACAGUUAUGUAUUGCUCCACUGGAACAGUGCUUUAACUUUUUUUUUUUUUUUUUUGCGGUACACGGGGCUCUCACUGUCGUGGCCUCCCCCGUUGCGGAGCACAGGCUCCGGACGCACAGGCUCAGCGGCCAUGGCUCACGGGCCCAGCCACUCCGCGGCACGUGGGAUCUUCCCGGACUGGGGCACGAACCCGUGUCCCCCCUGCAUCGGCAGGCAGACUCUCAACCACUACGCCACCAGGGAAGCCCCGCUUUAACUUUUUUUUUUUAAUUUGAAUGUUUUAAGAUGGAUUAUUCAUUGUCCAGUUUGACAAAGGCCCUGCCAUUCUCUGUAGUCUUACAUUUGGCCCAGUUCACACAUUCAAGUUACUUACCUAGCCUCUGUAGGUAUGUGGGUUUAUGACAUGAAGCAUAAAGACUAAAAUACAUGGGCUACAAGUCAUGAUGUUGUGUUUUUGUUCUUCCCCUCACUUCCUAGUUUCUUACCUCUACAGGUUUGUUAGGAGGCUCCAACGAGCUGAUGGAUACAGAAGCCCUUUUUAUAAACUUUAAAGUAUGAUGUGCUUGUGUGAACCAUUAUAAAUAGCUAACACUUCAUUACUUCAGUGCAGAUAAAAUACCAUUUGCUUUAUCUCCCCUUUCUUGAGUCUCAUUGGCAUCAGAUUUCCAGUUAAACUUCCCUUGUUUGGCACAGUGGUAAAUCUUUCAGAGGGUUGAGGCAUUGCAUUGGUUUCAAGACUACUUAUAUUAGUGCUAGCAGAAAAAUUAUGCAAAUUGGAGGAGCAACAGACUCCUACAAACGUCUGCAAAGUUUCUCAUAUCCCUAUGCAAGGGACUGGAUAUACACUUUAUUGUACUUUGUGACCCAAAGCAAGUUUCUAGGACCUUAUAAUAUGCAUAUUUUAUAUUCAUCUUAUUUCUGGCUACAGCCUUCAUCUUGUUUCUCCUCUAUUUUCUUGACUGCUUCUAAUAUAUAUAAACCUGGCAUCUUGUGGAUCUUUAUAAGUUGUUUUAAAUUCUUUGUGGAACAAAAUAGAAUAUAAUCAAUGAACAUUUAUUAAAUUGGUCCAUAUGACAUUACUGUGUCUGUAGGUAAAAAAUGGUCAAACCAUCAUCAGUUUCACACGGUCCAACCUGAUAUUUACAGUGCUUAUCUCAAUAUAUUUUGGUGCUGUAAUUGCUCCGUAAUCCAAGCUCUGGAGGAUGCACCAGUCAUGGUGGAAGGAUUACAGGAUAGAGAAGCAGGAGAUCUGGAUUCUAACGUCAGCUCUGCUACUAGGUAGCUGAGUAAUUAAGGGCAAGCGUCGUCUUUCCAAAUGAAUAGGACUCCGAUUCUGCCUUACAAGAUUGUUAUAAGGAUCAAAGGGUAGGCUAUAUGUGAACACUAUCUACAAAGUCCUCUAAGAGCCACGGGGUUAUUAUGUUGAAUUAAGCUCAUCCAGAAUCCUACCUCUAAGCCCUCCCAGCACCCUGGAGAGUGCCACUAAUGCCAUUACCAGUCCUCUUUCUCUUCCAGUCACCUGCUGCCUCCUUUCUUGCCUCCACCACCCAACCACAAUUCAAAGUUUGCUGAGUCUUUCCACAUUCAUGAUCUCUUUGACCACCCUCCCCUCACACUUCUGCAAGGGAAGCUUUAUUAUCCUAAUUUUACACAUACAGAGUCUGAAGUUCAGACGUGUUAAGUAAUUUUGCCCAAGAGCACACGUUUGUAAGUGGUAUAGCUUGGAUUCAAACUCUGUUCCUCUGAGCCCAAGUUCAGAGCUCUUUCACUGUGAGAAUUCUGCUCGGACACAUCUCCUGACUACUGCAGCCGGGAGUGGAGUUUAAGAACACAGCUCUACCAUUCGGUGGUUGUAUAAACUGGGCCAAGUUACUCAGCCUCUCUUGCCUCAGUUUUCUCAUCUGUAAAAUGGGGAUAAUCACAGACACAUUUGUGGUGUGCUAUAACAAUAAAAUAACUCAGGUAGAGCUCCUAGCACAGGGCCUUGGCACAUGGAAAACGCUCAAUAAAUGUUAAAAUUUGAAGAAGUUUGGGUACACCUUUCCAAAUCCAGGAGGCCACCCCGUUCAGCUGUAGUAUUUGCAGAAGCUUGGGGGCUAUCGUUAUACUCCGCCUCUUCCUUCUACAGUCACGGGAAGCAGUUAGAAGCGGAUCAGAAACUGAGUUCCACGUUUGCUCUUGCGAUUCGAAAAUCCUUUCUCCCAGCUCUAGGGGCGGGGUUAGGUAGUCGCCCUCAGAGGCGAGCCGCGGUGGCCUGGGGCGAAGGAGACAGGACGCCCUGUGCUCACCGGGCGCCGCGCGCAGCCCUUUUGGGCUCUGUCCGAGGUGCUGAACGCCGCGGGUCCCGGGCGCGCGGGCAGUGCGUGAGGGCGUCCACUGUUGUCAGUGUCUGUGAGCAUCUUCGUGGAGAAGGCAGAGCACGGGGGUCAGGUGAAACCAGGACGAGCACAGGCUCCAGACGCGCAGGCUCAGCAGCCAUGGCUCACGGGCCCAGCCGCUCCGCGGCAUAUGGGAUCUUCCCGGACCAGGGCACAAACUGUCAACCACUGCGCCACCAGUUUUUUGGCCACGAGGCAUGUGGGAUCUUAGCUCCUCGACCAGGGAUAGAACAUGCACCCCCUUCACUGGAAGGUGAAGUCUUAACCACUGUACCGCCAGGGCCUGGUGCUGGGUGCUGGGGUACAAGGUGAAAAGACACACAGUCCCGGCCCUCAAGGAGUAAAGACAAGGCAGGGAUCCAGGUAUGUAACUGCAAAAAGCCCAGUGGCAGAGAGAGCUCCCUGUCUGCAUUAGCUCCCACCUCUGCCAGGGAGAGAGGCAGGCCCUUGACCUGGUCCUGCAGGGGGUCUGGAAAGUCUGGAAACGUGGGCAAAUGUGCAGAAUGUCAAGGACAUCACCAGUCUGUCAAGAAAGAAAUGAUACUGCCUAUGUUUCCAGACUUCGUGGAAACCUGUAGAAGGCUCACGGGCAUCAGCCCAUAAAGCAGAGAUGAAGGGCAGAAGGGGGUGGGGAUUGGUGUUGCCAUUAAGACCUGGGCCAGGACUUCCCUGGUGGUCCAGUGGUUAAGACUUCGCCUUCCGGUGCAGGGGGUACAGGCUCCAUCCCUGGUCGGUGAACUAAGAUCCCACGUGCCUCGGGACCAAAAAACCAAAACAUAAAACAGAAGGAAUAUUGUAACAAAUUCAAUAAAGACUUUGAAAAUGGUCCACAUCAAAACAUCUUUAAAAAAAAUAAAAAGAAAGCAAGAAAGAAACUAACAUGGGCCAUGCAGAGUGCAUUCAUGCAUUAACGACUUAAUUUGAUUCCCACAACAGACCCACAAAGGGAGAUGUUUUGUGGGUUUUGGGUUUUGUUUUAUUAAAAUCCCUACUUUGCAGAUGAGGAAGCACAGAGUGGUGUCUGGGCUCCAGCUCUGCCAAUAGAAGGCGGGAAUUUAAUGUAGAUUAUCUCGGCUCUGGCACGCAGGGGAUUAAGUGAGAUGAGAGGGCAGCCAGCAUCUUGACUGCUGUCAGAAAGGCCACAUCUUUCCCAGCGGUUCUCACGCUGCCAUGGCGACAGGCAGUUAAAAAUAGUUCAGGCACAAGUUGAGGCAUCAGUGCGCACUGACACUGGGAAAGCUCCCGUCGGCGGUCUGGAAGGAUGAGUGCAUUCCCUCCCAGCACGGGGUGCUCCUUGCAAAGUGUGGGGUGCACCACAUCCUCUGGGCGCUUCCGAGAUUUUUCCUAUGGAGAUAGAGGUGGGCCAGGAACAUCCUGUGGGAACGUUGUCAGAGAGUGGAGGGAGGGAGCAGAACUAUUGGAACAGCCUCCUCUCCGGCCUCCCUGCCACCCUCCCCCCCACACGCACCCCUCACACUGUGCAACUACUGCCCCAGUCGCGUGCCCUCCACUAGACUCUUAUGGGGGCCCCUGGAGCACCUUUGCUCCCCUUUACCUCACCUGCAGCUACCACGGUGCCUGACUUUCAGUGGGUGCUCCAUACAUACUUAUUGCAUAAAUACAUAAGACCUUGAAAAUUACCAUUUUUAACUCCUUGUUUUGAGCCAUAUUUUAAUAUUUCUGACUCAUGCGCUAGCAAGCGCUGACUUGUAUAGGUUGGCUAGAAUCAUACUCAGCACGUCUGGGCCGGGUCUUGACGGCUCACGCAGCUCUACACCCGCAUUUCACAGAAAUUCAGAGAGAGACGUGUGCUUAGUUGGACAGCAUCCACCUCCUGAGUCCACCCCAAGCCCACCCGCCCCGUGCAAUGCUUUCUCUUUCCUCAUUUUUCUUAUUGAGAAAGAGAAACUGACUUUAUCUGAGCAUUCUCAUAGCCAGAAUUGUUUUAAAACAAUUCUGGCAAAUGAAGAUUGUUGUUUUUCAAGAGAUGCUUACAUCCAGGAGGCCUUCAGGUACCCGGAGGAAGAAGGCAAGGGCUGUGUGUGGGCAGCAGCAGACCAUUCCAGAAUCCUGGGAGAGGAGAGGAAGGAGUGAAGGACCAGCCAGCCCUGUCUGUGCCGCAGGACAGGUUAUUUGCAUAAUGAGCCCCGCGCAUACCGUAGCUCCCGAUUCCUCACAGCUCCGAGGAGUGAAUGGGUAUUAUUAGUGUCAUCUUAUCUAGAACUGGGUCACACCAGAAAAGACUGACUUUCCAGAUGGCUCCCAGGGAUCCGACUGUGCUCAGGCACGUUGAAGACACCAGCAAAAGCUGCUGCCCUGUUCAAGCCUGUCAACCAUCACAGCCCUUCCUCUAGGAAAUAGAGAAUCAACCAUCCUCUCCCCUGCGGGGCUGGGGCCUCUUGCCUUCUCACUUACAUCCUCCGUUGCUUCUGAACCAAAUGGGGUCUGCUUGCCCGGCGCGGUGGGCAGCAAAGGCAAUCUGUUGACACCAGGUUGUGGUGAAGGAAAAGACAGUGUUUAUUGCAGGGUGCCAAGCAAGGGAGUGGAAGACAAGCCUCAGACCACUCCCACUCGGUCUUUGAGUUUGGGGUUUUCUUCUUUAAGAACAAAGAAGCCGGGGUUACUCAUAUCUUGGGACAUUGCUUAAUCAUAGUUUUGGGAGUCAAGGUAUCUCUGGUUUGUGAUUCUCUGACCAAGUUCACAGCUGGGGGUCCGUUAGCUCAUCUUGCCCUGGAGAAACAACCUGAGUUUGUACGUUAAUGAUGUGAUCUAUAACAGUAAUUUUAGUACAUUUACAAUGUUACUGACAGCAGCAGUGGUAGUCAUCUGACUUUUCAGUUAGCACAGGAUUGAGGUCAGAGGGGACAAGAAAAGGAAUAACGUUUUGGAUAGAGAGAUUAAUCAUAAACUCGGUAAGGGAACUCAGUUUUAGGGGGACUCAGUUUCACCAUCAGUAACUCACCCAUUUCAAUCACCUUGGACUUAGAAGGUGAAUGAAAGCCAAAUCUUUAUCUCCAGCCUACCUUUCUCUCCAAAGUUUCAGACAUUUAUAUCCCUCUGCCCAAGAGAUGUCUCCACUUGGUGGUGCCAGGGCCCAAACGACACAUCCAAAGCCAAACGCAGCGUCUACCCCUGAAGCUAUUUUCCUCCUUAAGUCCCUGUCUUGGUGGUUGUCAUUGUAGCCAGAGCACAAGUGAGUCACCUCCCCCUGCCACACAUUCACCCUCAGAUCACUGUCCUGUCCGUUUCUCUCCACCUCUGUGAAACUCACCUGCAUAAUGACGGCAGCACCCAGAGUGGCUUCUGUCUCUCAUCAUGGCCUCUACAGCACCCACCCAAAUCAGUUCUCCAGAACUCCACCUGGGUAAACUUUCUGAUCCAACUGUGACACUCCUCUGUGUGACAGCAUUCUGGGCUCCCCAAGGCUGUGAGAUUGAGACCUUGGCCCGGCCCCGGGAGCUCUGUGACCUCUGCCCGGCUCCAGUCUCACCUCCACAACCCUGCCUGCACAAAGUCAUAUCCCCUGUGCCCCGGACAUUCUCCCUCCUCGCAGGCCCCCAAAUCCACCAUGCUGUCUCUCACAGCACGUCCUCCGCUGCUGCCACAGCCCUUUGAAGCCUGGGGAGAGGAGAGCUCGGUAUGUUUAAAAUAUAAAGAAAUCCCCAUCCAGGGUUUCCAAAAAGGCAGCGUAUUUUCAAUGUUUACAACUAAUUCGCUAAUGCCUUUGUCACAAAGACCUUAUAAUGCAAUGUAAUUGUGCCAGUCAGAGGAUAAUGAGAAUCUUAAAAAAAGAUAAAUGAUACAAAUGAACUUAUUUACAAAACAGAAACAGACUCACAGACUUAGAGAACAAACUUAUGGUUACCAGAGGGGAAGGGUUGUGGGGAGGGAUAGUUAGGGAGUAUGGGAUUGACAUGUACACACCUCUAUAUUUAAAACAGAUAACCAACAAGGACCUCCUGUAUAGCACAGGGCACUCUGCUCAAUAUUCUGUAACAACUAAUUGGGAAAAGAAUUUGAAAAAAGAAUAGAUACAUGUAUAUGUAUAAUUGAAUCACUUCCUGGUACACCUAAAGCUAACACAACAUUGUUAAUCAACUGUACUCCAAUAUAAAAUAAAGAGUUAGGGCUUCCCUGGUGGCGCAGUGGUUGAGAGUCCGCCUGCCGAUGCAGGGGACACGGGUUCGUGCCCCGGUCCGGGAGGAUCCCACAUGCCACGGAGCAGCUGGGCCCGUGAGCCAUGGCCGCUGAGCCUGUGCGUCCGGAGCCUGUGCUCCGCAGCGGGAGAGGCCACAACAGUGAGAGGACCACAUACCGGAAAAAAAAUAAAAUAAAAUAAAAUAAGAGUUAAAAAUGAAACAAAAAGAAGUUAAUGAAAGGGUUUAUGGAAUAUAAUCAUUCAGGCUGCCCUUCCAGCCCAUCUCUCUGGGUCUGCCAGGGCUAAGGGGUUUCCCAGGAAGCAGGACUGUCAGUGGUAAAAUCAGGAAAGGCCUGGGCAAAGCAGGACACGCUGGUCACCGUAAGUAUAAAACAGCGGUUGACAGGCGUAUGAUGGCCUUCUUCCUUCAGAACCGUCAGUGUAUCUCUGUGGCUGUCUGCCUGAUGUUAGCUUAAAGGCCACGUUGGAGGCCGUGGAGAGUGGGAAGCCGAACCUCUCCGGCCCGGUGCUCCCUGCUGCUUGCCCUUCCUGCCGCUACCAACCAAGGAGUUCCUGCUCGUCCUUCUGGGCUCAGCUCGCCCCAGUGUUGGCCUGAUGACUGUUCCCUCCCACGUUCCCUCAGCAUCCCCAACACGCCUCCUAGCAGGCGGCACGCUGUGUUGUGGUUUUCUGUGAGCGUGUCAGUUUCCACCUUUAGGCGGUGAGCAAGUUCAGGGCUGGGCUGACCCACAGAAGACACUCGGUGGGCGAUGAACAAACAGGACUGUGCAUGGCCCACCGAGAAAUCCCAUCUGACAUGUCUGCUGGGCCCAGACAACUCACAGGUUUCCUGGGCACCUCCUGUGUGCCAGGCUCGAGCACAGCCUCAGCCUCAAGGAGCUUAGAACCACGUGUUCUAAAGGCACCCAGGAGAGCAGACAAAGGAAGCUAGCAGUACUUGUUUCAUGCCUGCAUGAUGAUAAAACACCACCUAAUUCCUAUAGCAAGGUUGAAGUGCCCAGGGAGGGCUGCCUGGAAUGUGUGUAGGUGGCAAAGAAGACACCUGUACCAGACAUGAGUAGCAAGAAGGCAGAUGCCUUGUUGUCUAAAAAAAAAAUUAAAAUGUAAAAGAAACAGAAAUGCCAAGUUACAGGAGAGGUUGCUCCCAGCAGCAAGACAUGGAAGCAAGUUCUGAUGGCCCCUUCUCCAGAAGGAGGGCUGAGCAACAUGACCUCCACAGCUCCUUCCAGAUUCUAUUAUUUAACCUUGGCAUUGCCAGCAGGGAGCAAGCCACAGAUGCAGGAAUUGAGCAGGGGUAUUCUGGGUACAGUGCUAGUACCGACCAAGUGGGUCAGAGCACAUGGGAGAGGAGUCUGGACGCGUGGACGGAGCUUGAAUUGGGACCUCCAGACUCCCCUGGACGUGUUUGGUGAAACAGUGAGGCGUUUGGGAGCCAGGGAGCAGCAACUAUCUCAGGGGCAGAACUACUGCAGGACGUGAAUGUUUGCCUGUGUGCCACCUCUGCUUCCUUCUCUCCUCCUCACACAUUUCUCACGAUGGAAUUUCAGGGCUUAUCACUAACCACAAAGAUGGAAAUCAAUCCAGCCCUUUCCCCCCUGGGUCCCCAGCAGUGUGACAAAGGAGGCUUCAGAGAGCCAGAUCGAUAGCUGCGAAAGCUCCCCUGGAAAAGCAUCUUGACUCGGCAGCCACAGUCUGUUUUCCCAAUACUUUCCUCUGAAUUGGGCUUACCCACUUCAAACUACAGGCAUAUCCCAACCAGGGCAGAGCCCGCCAUGGUCAGCAGCAUGGAGGGGUGGACCAGGGGGGAAACAGGUGCUCGUGUGCAGGGGGGUCAAAGGGGAGGACGCUUGGGAGGGGCUGGCGGGCGCAAUCUCAGGCUCUUUCUCCAAUCUCAUCAGGUGUAUCAGACUCUCCCCUUUGCCCCAGGGAGGAAGAGUAAGAGACAGGCUGGGAAAGCCUUCAGGGAGCAAGGAGAUCACAGCUCCCUGUCUCUGGAGGUAGCAGGUGCUGGGUCCCAUGUGAGGUCCCCACAGACGUCUUUAUGGCUACUGGUGCUCCAGACUCCAGUCUGGUUCUGCCUGUUGGUCUUACCCUCCUACGUAUGUGCAGGGUACAGGAGGGAGGCUUUGUUCCAUCUGCACAGGCUCUACAGGAACCCAACAGUUGAGUAGGUACCAGUUAUGGAUCCAAACAGAGCAUUACGUUUAACUCCCACCUUCCCAAUGGCAGUCGUAAUCAAAGGCUGUGACCCAUUUCUCUCCAGAAAGCAUAGAGGAUGUCAGAGUCCAACUUGUGACAGGGGCCUUGCUGAGAAGGGCAUGGGAUCAUAGUAAACAGAGCUGGGUUUGAAUCUUAGACAACUACCCACUUCGAGAUGCUGUGUAACAUGUCACUCUCCAAGGUACUGUUCCAUCAUCAGUACGACGAUGAUAGUAUCACAAGAUGCUGUGGGAAUUAUUGAUAAUGUGCGAGCCUGUCACGUAGAGGUGAUUACUAAACAGCAGGCUCUUCCUCCCCUGUGUAACAGCCUGUCACUCCAGGCAAACAUCACCACCCCUAGCCCUGGGCAGGACUUGACCCAAGUUCUCUGGCCAGAUCUCUGCAGCUCCAGCAUGGGUUCCAGCAUCCAGGCUGUGCUUCCAGAUCAUGGGCUGCAAAGUUCCUGUGGCCUCGUAAGUCUGCAGGAUGGAGGCUGCUGCACUCCUUCUGUCUCCUUCCAAAUUGGCUCUGGAAUGGGGAUGGGGUAAGAUGUACAGAUGGGAUCCUCAGAACCUCAGAUCCACAUGAGGGCCUCAGGGGAGACAGAAGCAGAUGCAAGCAAGCAGGACACUGUAUAGCAUCACCCUUUAAGCCUGUAACAAGGUAACGAAGCCUAUGCCGUAGUGAUGAUCAGUUCAUGCACAGCCGGGGAUUCCAGCUCCAGCUCUGCCGCCAACCACUGAGCAGGUCCCUGCACCUCCUAGAGCCUUAGCAUCCUCAUCCGCAAAAUGGGAUGACAUGACCUUCCUUGAAGGCGGGUUUCUGUCACCCUGGGUGUGAGCACUUCUUUGUAAGUUGCCAAGAUGUAUGCAAUUGGAAGGAGUGGCGAUUAUGGAAGUGUCAUCGGAGGCACAUUUGUUGCUGUGGGAAAUGCAGGCGCUGGACCAUUUUCUCAUCUUUCCACAGGUUGCUAGAAUCACAACUUAUAAUUAACGCACAGUGAUAUGGCUUGACCCAGUUUCCGAAAUUAGAAUGUUUCAACUACAAGUGAUGAAAGAUGUGAAAUUCUUGUCUACCUAGCAGAACUAGCCGGAUAAACCUCCUUUCCCUGGACUUCAAGUUUUCUUCAGAGCUAAUGAAUAAAUGCACACGUUAAGCAAAUGUAUAAAUUCGCUUAUUCAAUAAAUAUCGAUUGAUCGCCUACUCUGCACCAUUUAUUAUGCUUAACGCUUUACCUGACUUGUCCAUUUAAUCCCCACAUGAAUUCUGUGAGGUGGGCACCCUGAUGUGAAAAUUAGGAAACUAAAGCUCAGAGGGGUUAGGUUACUGGAUCAAGGCCAUGGCCCUAGAAAGCGACAAAGCACAAUUAAACCCAAGUUUUCUUGACCUCUCAUGCACCUGCUCUUUCAUGAUACCACGUGGCUUCUCCAGGCCCCUAGGAAGGGGAGUUAAGGUUAUGUCUGGUAGAAGGAAGGAGUAGGGAUGGACCACAAAUUACGGCUGUUGUGUGCCCCAGUGUCACCACAUGAAACAUCCCAACCUUUCCUGGGACCCAGCCAUCCAUCCUGCUUCCCAGCUCCAGGCAGGCGGCCCCUGGAACGCACUUACUGCCCCUGCUCUCCUGGCCGGACUCAUCAGCUCUGUGCCACUGUGCAGCUGCCUUGUCCUCAACCUCGGUUAUGACUUGUUUCACUUUCUACCACCCCAGGUCCAUCUAGGAACGGGCUGGCUCUGAACUAGGCACCCCAUCUCCCUUGGACCCCUUGGGCUGGUGGGCAGCGACUGGGCAGUACAGGGCAUGGAGUCAGACAGAGUGAGGCGCUUCUGAUUGCUCUCCAUUUGAGAAAGUAACUGGUUUCUCUGUGCCUCAGUUUCCUUAUCUGAAAGUUGAGGGUAAUCCCUGUCUCACAGGGUUGCUGAGAGUCCUGAUGGGAUAAGGUAAUACAUGUGUGGCAUACAGUAGGCACUCAGCAGGUGCUAUUUCCUUCACCUCCCCGCCCCAUACUUGCAAAGUACAGCAGAUGGUACAUCCUGAUCAUGCUACGUUUUCCUCUGUGAUUUCUUAGUUUUAAAUAUUUGACUCUCAUGUUGGUGAGUAGGGCAAGGAGGUACAAAUCUAAUUCCUUUUUCAAACUCAAUCUUCAGUCUUCCAACAUGAUUUAUUAAGUGAGCUUUCCCUUCCAUAUUGCUUACUCAUCAUAUAUGACAGUCUCUCAUAUAAUUUGGUCUAAUUCUUGGCCCUCUUCUGCAUAACUUAGAUAUAGUUUUGUCUUUGUAGCUGCACUCCAGCUGUUUUUAUUACUAUUUGCUCUAAAAUAGGUUCUUAUAACCAGACAGAUAAAUCUUCCCCACCCCUGCUCUCCCACCCCCACCUGAAUUAUUUAUUUUUCUUGGCCACUUAUUCUUCCAGCCAUACUCUUUUGUCAGGUUCCAUGAGAAAUUCUGGAGCUUUAAAUGAGGAUUUGCUGGGUACACAGAGGAUGUGAGGGCUAGCACUUUGGGGAAUUCCACAAGCCUUGAAAUCUCAAGUGGUCACACACAUACACACACACAUGCACAUAUGCACACACACAUAUAUACACACACAUAUAUGCACGUACACAGUACACAUACAUGCACACACACACAUACAUGGACAUACACACGUACACAUAUAUACACAGCCAACCCUGUUCCCUGCUUGCCCCUCCAAUCCUUCCCCACCGAUAGGAAGAAGACAGUAAAUGACAACCAUCUGGUACCCAAUUAUGACCCCUUGCCAGGCCUGCCUCGCGUUAAAAGGCAUAGGGAUGAGGCUGGAUAUUAGUCCAGUGAUGGGCAAGUUCAAGGGAAAUCCUAAGAACCUCGGAGUCUAGACCUGCUUUACUAGUUUCCCAUUACAUUGACCUCUAAGGCAUUUGACUAACCCAGUGGAUUUCCAGGUGCAAGGCUCCCUACCAGCAGCCCCUGGGAACUUGAUAGAAAUGUAAAUUCUUGGGCCUCACCCCAAGAAUUGAAUCUGGGUGUGGAGCCCAGCAAUCUGUUUUUUUAACAAGCCUCCCCAUGACUGAAUGCUUGAAAUUGAGAGCCACUGGAUUAAACAAGCAUAGAUUUACUCAAAGUCUACCUCUGCUUAUUUCUGAGAUCUCAGGCAUGCUGGUAGCCUGGUCAGCUGCGCAGAAGAAACUUUGAAGGAUGCCUGCAAAUGUAGAAGAGCUGCAACAAAGCCAGAUUCGUUGUAUCAAUAAUUGGACCACACGUGACCUAUACAUGAGGAGGGUCGAUAUCUUCACAAUAUUACUCGUGCUUGCCAGGAAAAUGCAAUUCUCCUUCUGCUCUCCUGCAGGAAUCACAAGUAUUAUGGUUUUCUCUACCCGGUCACAAACAUCCUGCAUUGAGUUUAUUCCAAAGUACUUACUAUAUUUUGUUACUGUGAAUGGGCUCUCCUUAGCUGUGGAUUUUCUAACUGACGAUGCCUGGUAUUCAUAUAGCAUCCUGUGCAUUCAUCGGUAAUCACUCAUUUUUCUGACCUCUUUACUUCUAGUCCUUUUUUACAGCUGGUUUGUUUGUCUUUCUCAAGGUGUCUUUUGAAUAAUAACACUGCCGACUUUGGGCCUAAUGUUUAUUAUUUGCAUUUCCGCUUCAGGGGCCCACCUGGAUGAGUGGACAGAUUUGACAAAAGAUGGUGGAAGGAAGGGCAUUUAGGGGGCCAGACUUGUCCUGGAACACACUUCCCACCUGGCCACCUACCUGAGCUUAACAUAGCCUUUGGGACUCACCUGGUAAAUUCACCUUUGGGUUUUUGGAGUUUUUUUACCUUUGUUUUAAUCCAAGUUUUAAAAUUUGUUUGCAUAGAGUUAUACAGACAAUUCUGUAAUCAUUCUCUUACUUUAGCUUUUAUAGAUCCAUUUUUGUAUAUAACUCUUGGAUCCAUAUGGAAUUUCUUUGCAUGUGAAGAAUAAGGUAAUGUUACAGGGGAGAACAAAAUCUGGCUACGUGUUAGAUCUGUUUCUUUUACUCCCAUUGCUUUUGUUCACUAAAAGGAUACUGUUUAUACAUAAUGGCCUGCCUUGGGGAGCCCUGCCCCUCUGCCUGAAUGUUAAACCAAAGUGCCUUUGUUCAGGGGAACAUCCGGACCCUGUCCACCUGUGGAUGGCUGCAAGAAAGAAGAAAUUAACACAUCCUCUCCCGGAGGCUGGCCAUUCCAGGAGAUAUUUGCAAGACUUAUGAUCUUUUUACUUUACUUCCUCACCUUCUCCCUGUCUCUGUUUUAUAAAAGAAACUGACAUCCAGGCCCUGAUAAGACGGUUAUUUAGAGACAUUAGUCUGCCGUCUUCUCGGUCUUCCGGCUUUCCGAAUAAAGUCGUAUUCCUUUGCCUCUACACCUUGUCUCCGAUUCACUGGCCUGUCACACGGUGAGCAGAGCGAGCUUGGACUUGGUAACAGUAAUAAAUCAUUUCUUUCCUUCAGAUAACUAACCAGUUUUCCCAAUGCAGUUUAUUGAAUGCCCCAUCCGUGCUGAUAAAUUUAAUGAUGCCAUUUUAAUCAAAUACUCAUUUCCCAUACGUGCUUGAAUUUAUUUUUUGACGCUCUUACAUUGAUUUCUUGGUCUAUUCCUACUCUGAAAUGUCUGUGGCCUUAAACAAUGGUUUAAUAUACCUGAUAGUAUCAUAGUCAUACUUGUUAUUCUUUUUCAGAUCUUUCUCUGCUUCCAAUCAUGUGUUUAUUUUACGAGAUGAAAUUUAGCUUUAAUAGCUCAAAUUCCAAACAAAAAUCUGUUGGUAAUUGGGCUGGGAACACACUUAAUUUAGAGAUUAAAUUCAGGAAUUAAAACUACCCUACUGAAUAGUCUUCCAAAGAAAAACAGGGGAGGUUUUUCACUUACUAAAAUAAUUUGUGCAGCUUUUAAUAGGAAUUUUAAGUUUUUAGCAUAGGGUUAGGACUACACUGUACUGUACUAUAUAUAUAAGGUUAGGACUGUACUAACAUUGAUUAAUACAUUUGUUCUUAAGUAUUUUUAUGUUUCUAUUGUAAAUGGCAUCUUUUCUUCCCUUAGAUUUUCUAACUGGUUAUUAUUUGUAAUAUAGUAAAGGUUUGAUUUUUGGCAUAAACUUUACAACCAGAUGCCUCUUCCUUUCUGAGUUUUGUAUCUCUUAUAUCUUUCUCGUAUAUGAUAGUGGGAGUUCUUGUUUCUGACUUUAACGGGAAUGUUUCUGGCUUUUCACGUUAAGCUGUGCUAGCUUUUUGGAUGGAAGAUUAUAAUAUUUUAUAAUGUUAAGGAAAUAUCCAUUAGUAUUUAUUUUGUUAAUUUAAAAAAAACUGAGGGACUUCCAUGGUGGUCCAGUGUCUAAGACUCCAUGCUCCCAAUGCAGGGGACCCAGGUUCAAACCCUGGUUGGGGAACUAGAUCCCACAUGCCACAACUAAGAGUUCACGUGUCGCAACGAAAGAUCCCACAUGCUGCGACUAAGACCUGGCACAGUCAAAUAAACAAAGUUUUUUAAAGUGGUCCUAAUAACUUCUGCAUAAAAAUCAAAAAAGGUUAAGAUUUUAAAUAAGUAAAUAAAUAAAUAAAAUACAAACUGAAAUGAAGGUUGCACGAUAGCAAAUGCAUUCUUUAGCAUAAAAUUUUCUGAUAUUAAACCAUCCUUACAUUCUUCAGAUUGAUCUCUCUUCAUGUAUCUUUCUUUUAGUGUCUUCUGCUUCUCUUUGCUGAUAUUAUAUUAAGGAUUUUUGCGUUGGUUGUCAUAACUGAGUUUGAUCUGUAGAUGUCUUUCUUUUCUCUUUCGGCUUUUUCUUUCAGGCUUUGGUAAAGUUUUGGUGAGAUUCUCCUGUCUCUGGGAACAGUUUAAGUAGCACUGUGGUUAUCUGUUUCUCAAAGGUUUGGAAGAAGUUACCUGUGAAAUCUAGGGACUUAGUACUUUUAAAGAGAGUAGCUUUAUUAUGAUUUUAUCAAUUGAGUUCUGUACCUUAGAACCUUUAUUAUUUUUUUAACGUCUUUAUUGGAGUAUAAUUGCUUUACAAUGGUGUGUUAGUUUCUGCUGUAUAACAAAGUGAAUCAGCUAUACAUAUACAUACAUCCCCACCUUCGAACCUUUAAACAGUCAUCAUAACUCCUUAUAUUUUCCGUACAGAUGGAAUUCACCUACGAAACCAGCCUCAUCCUUGUGGAGGUGGGAUGGUUGAAAGGGGUAGGUCUUAGGUCCCUUUCCCAAUUUCUUCCAUGGUCUGACUCCUCUUUAUUAAAUUUUGAUGACAUAAUUUUUUUUAGAAAAUUAUGCAUUUUAUCUAGAUUUUCUAAUGUUUAACCACAGAGGUUGUGCAAAUCACUCUAUAAUCAUUUUUUAAAAUUUAAUUUCUUUUUUUUCUUAAUUCAAAUUUUGUUUGCGUUUUCUCCACUUAAAAAAAAUAGGUAAGGCAGUGGUUAUUAUACUUUAUAAUUUUUUCAGCAAAUCUUCAAUUUAUGUUCUUGAAUCUCUGUAUCAUUUUUGUUCUGUCUUCUAAAUUGCUUGCUACUUUUCUCUUCAUUAGUGUCUUCCCUCUACUUUCCUUAGGUUAGUUUAAUUAUGUUUUCUAAAUUCUUAUAUUAAUUGCUUAAUUUUAUUUCAUUUCACUCUUUCUUACUUAGUAGCAUAGAUAUGUAAGCUAGUAAUUUUUUCCAAACACUGCUCUAGCCACAUUCUAUAGUGUUUAAUAUGUAGUGUUUAUUGUGUCAUCACAUUUUAUUUUUGUGGAUAUUCUAGAGCAGAACUACCAAUAGAAAUAUAAUGUGACAUCAUCUGUCAUUUUACAGUGUACAGUAUCCACAUUUAAAAAGUAGAAAGAAGAAACAGGUGAAAUUAUUUUAAUAAUAUUUAUUAUUUAACCCAGUAUACCCCAAAUAUUAUCAUCUAAACGUGUAAUCAAUAAAAAUAUCAAUACAUUAAUGAGAUAUUUUACAUUCUUUUUUCAUGUUAAGUCUUGGAAAUCCAGUGUGUUCACGCCCACAGCAAUUCAGACUAGCCACGUGUCAGGCGCCACGUUUCAAUAGCUGCAUGGGGCUAGUAGCUGCCAUAUGGAGCUGCACUGCUUCAGAAUUUCAGCUUUGGUCUCCUCUACAACAGAGGUGUUUAAGGAAGAGAUUAAGACGUAAGCAGAGGUAGGCUUUUUGUUUAUGUUUUGUCUUUAUAGUUUGAUUACGCUGGGAUCAAGGAAUAUGAUCUAUUCGAUUGUUGAUGGGAAAAUAUGAUAUUUUCCAUUUUUUGAAACUGGCUGAUGUAUGUCAUAUUAAUAUUAAUCAUAUUUUUAAAUAAAUGUUCCAUGGGUCCUUGCAAAAGAGAUGAAUUGUCUGUUUUUUGGGUGUAGUGUCCGUUUCAUUGUUUAUGUCUAUUAUGUGGGGGGGAGGUCUACCAUGAACCAAGUGAUAUACAUCUAUCUACCAUAAAACCACCAUAAACUAAUGUAACAUCUCCUAUUAUUAUUAUUAUUAUUAUUAUUUGGCUGUGUUGGGUCUUCGUUUCUGCACAUGGGCUUUCUCUAGUUGUGGCGAGAGGGCUUCUCAUUGCAGUGGCUUCUCUUGUUGCGGAGCACAGGCUCUAGGUGCAUGGGCUUCAGUAGUUGUGGCUCGUGGGCUCUAGAGCGCAGGCUUAGUAGUUGUGACAUACGGGCUUAGUUGCUCCGCAGCAUGUGGGAUCUUCCCAGACCAGGGAUUGAACCCAUGUCGCCUGCAUUGGCAGGCAGAUUCUUAUCCACUCUGCCACCAGGGAAGCCCUCUUAUUAUUUUGUAUCUAUUCAUUUCCCUCUUUUUUUUGGCAACUUCUAAAAAGUUUACAUUGAUGUUAUUUUACUUAGUAUUUAAGGAUUUCAUUGGAAACUGUAAAUUUUAUCUGUAUGAAAUUCCCCCAUUUGUGUUUCUCUUUUUAUCUUACAUUUUUAUUGAUGUUAAUAUACUUCUGCUUUUGUUUGCGUUUUCCUGAUACGCAUUUGUAUGCAUUUUCCUUUUGUUUGCAUUUUACUGAUCUGAAUUGCUCUUUUAGAUGAGUUUUUUUGUAGACAGCAUACAGCUGGGUUUUCACUGAGCUGAUACAUACCAUCCAAGUAACCAGUAAACACAGAGAAUAUGGUCAGAGAAAAACAAAAUAUUUCCUCCACUCCCAGUGAAUACAAUUUAUCCCUAGACGGAAGAUGAGAGCUCUUACAUCUAUAGCAGGAUCUCAACCUCGGCACUAUUGACUUCUGGGGCUGGAAUAUUCCUUGCGGUGGGGCUGUCCUGUGCACUGUAGGAUACUUCACAGCAUCCCUGGCUUCUACCCACUAAGUACCAGUAGCACUCCCCCAUCCCCACCCCUGGUUGUGACAACCAAGAAUGUCUCCAAACAUUGCCAAGCGUUUGUUGGAGGACAAAAAUCUCCCCUGUUUAGGAAGGGCCCUUCCACACCUAGAAGGGCCGUUCCACACCUCUCUGUCAGGCUUCUCACCCACCUAUCCGCGCCUGUUCCCUCCAAAUACAGGUUUCAGAGUGAGAUGUAUGGCAGACAUGCUGCUUCUCAGCUGUGGAGAAAGCCACUGCUCGGAGUUCUAGAAACUUCCAUCUCUGAUGACGCCUUUCACAUUUGUGGUCAGAGGUUUCAGUCCUUGCCUUACUUGAACAUGACCCCUUGAUCCUCUGCCGGUGUGCCUCCUCUGUCUGUUUCUUAUUAAGUGUACGGAGAAGGAGGUUACAUGUUCGUCUGUACUUCACCAUCAUGCACAGCCAUCUCCCCUCUAGUCCCCAAUCUGAGCUCUUUUCCCUGCAUGUCUGACAGAGAGAUGUCAGGUUUCAGUAAAACAAUAAUUAAAUCUAUAGUCAACUCUGAUCAGAUGGCAUUAAACAGAGGAACACGGAACAAGGAACAAUGUUCUCUGAAGGGAGAAAUAUUUUUACAUGAAUAUUUUGGUAUUUGUUAAUGUACUGGAAUUAAUAGAGAGGUGUAGGAGGUGCUGAAUAAAAAUCCAAUUUGUACUGAUUAUUCCCAAAUUAAGAUUAGCACAGAAACCUGUCUGGAGUGGGAGGCGAAGUCUGCUGUUCCAAAGAAGAGGUUUUAAAGGUGUAGGUGGGGUGAGUGAGAGAAACUGAACGUAAAUGUUCUUGCAAAAAGAAUGAGGAAAGAGCCUGCGGAUCUCCUGACAGCCAGGGGCAACCCUUUGAGAAGGCCCAGCCCUCAGCCCAGAGAAGACCAGGAGGGGCUAUUCCCUAAUCCUGACCCUUCCAGCAUCCCUUAAAUUCAUUGGGUAGCUUACGGCUUACAAAGAGCUUUUGUAUACUUAGCAUUUCAAAUAAAAUGGAUAAAUACACGUGAUAGCCUAAUAAAGGGAUUUAUUAUGGGAUUCCUAAAUAGAUGGAGAGAUUUGAAUAAGCUAUAUUAGUUGCAUAGAACUAUUACUUCAUCGCAUAGAUGUUUGUAGAGUGCCUGUUGGGUUUCACAUACCAGCUAUGGUGUGGAAAUGAUUCUUCCGCACCCUGCCAUCAAAAGGUUGACAGUCUACUGUGGAGACAGAAGUGAAGUACCAAUUACAAAGCAACGUCACCAGCCCCAUGAUAGAGACCUGAUGUCUGUCCAAAGGAAGGGCGCUUAAUACUGUUUGGGAGGGAGAGAAGGGAGAGAAGUCAGGGAAGGCUUCCGGGAGGAAUUAAGACAGAGCUGAGUGUGACUGGAGGAGUAGAAGUUAGCCUAGUGAAGGUGGCAAAGGCAUUCCUGGUAGAGCAGUCCACAUGAGCAAAGGCACUGAGAUCAGAAACAGCAUAGUGUGUCCUGGAGGCAAAAGCAGGUUCAUAUUAUGGGCGCAUCAAGUCCAGGGCAGGCAGUGGCCAUGAAGCACCUUGGGUCCUCUCUUCCAAGUCUUGGUAUUUCAUCAAGUUAGUGAUGGGGACCCGCUGACCAAACCGUCUUUGCUGAAUCACUUUCUGCCCUUGGCUUCUGCACUGGACACUCCUGAUUUUCCUCCUCAGUAGCUUCUCUGAGUGGUCUCCUUGUCGUGAUCCUCCCCCUUUUCCACCCUCUAAGUACGAGCAUGCCCCAAGGCUCAGUUUUUGGCCUGUUUCUCUUCUCCAUACCUACACACUCCCGUAGCUUUCAGUACCAUCUCUCUGCUGAUGAAUCCCAAAUUUACAUCACUAGCUUCAAUCCUUACCUCCCAGAUCCAGAUGCAUAUAUUCAAUCGCCUACACCCCAUCUCUACUUGGGUCUCAAUUAAUGUUCAGUUGCAUGUAGCAAAGACCCAAAAUGUCGGUGAAUUUAAAAGGAUAAAAGCUCAGCUAUAGGCCAUUUGUGGCCAGCAUGGUGGCUCCACAGACAUCUAGGACCCAAACGUUACUAGAUUUCUACUCCAACACACUUAGUGUGGCCUUCAACCUCGUGGCACAAGAUGGAGCCCCAUCCGUCGUAACAGAGUUCCAAGCAGCAUGAUGAAGGAAGGGGUGAUGAAGGAGCUGUUGCAGGUCAAAUUCCGCGGGCGGCACACUCGGAGACGGUUGCUUGCAUACAAGAAUUUCAUUGGGAUGUACACCUAAGGUCAACCGCUGGGGGUGAGUAACAGAAGUUGGACUGGGCAGAAGGAGAAGUUGGGCUAUAAGACCUCAGCCAAUCCUACAGGAAAUUCUGCAGAUGGUCCUCAAGAGUUUUCCCAAAUGGGGCAAGGGGACCAGAUCAUUUUAUCCCCACUUCACCCAGUCACCAGAUGCAGGCUGCACUAGGAAGGGGCAUCACUUGGGGAGGGGUGGCUCUCAUAG